AGCUUAGCUGGUAGCAUGCAAUUUAUAAGCGCUCUUCCAUGGCUGCUACCCACCUGCCAAAGCAAGUGUUCACGGACCUGCAAAUUCAGCCGAGAUCAUUGACAGAUAUCCGACAGCCGAGAUACCAUUUAUACUGGUUUCAGAUAUCCGAAAGGCGCAAUCCUGGUGUGAAAUUAAUGAAAGGUUACGACGCUUUUGGUUGACAGAGAUAAUUGACAGGCAGCCAUUGUUGUGCGGUGUCACUUCACUUUUCUUUCUUGGUUUCUGCAGUUUGACUUUCGAUGAUUAUAUGUCACAGUGUUCAUCUCAGCCGUUCUCUUAUUGUUCAAAUCACCGCACCCUUCUGCCACCGCAGAUCAUGCUUUAAAUCCACGUGAUUUGGUGAGAAAGAUGGUCAUUACGUAAAAAUUAACCACAAAAUUGCUGCUGAAUGUGUCCAUACUUGUUUUCCGGCAGUCUAGUCGUGUAGCCUGGGCUUCCCUUGUCGACAUGACAAUAGGAGGACUCAAUUAUGAGGAUGGUUAUAAGACUCGGUUUAAAUUUGAACCGGUCAAGGAUAUAUAUAGUUCAUAAUUUGCCAGUUGUUACGUAAAAUAGCGUCUAAAUGUAAGAGAUGGUCAUAAUUUAUUUUUUAAUUAUUUAUUCCCUAAACAACUCAAUUUUGUUUUGGACUCUUGUUUUACACUUUAGCCUUUUAUUUUGGACUCUUGUUGUACACUUUAGCUUGUUUCCUAAUCAACUUUAUUUUAUCUUGAUUCUUAUUCUUCUUGUUUU
Long non-coding RNA from Populus nigra (black poplar), 774 nucleotides. RefSeq lists it as uncharacterized. Lineage: Eukaryota; Viridiplantae; Streptophyta; Magnoliopsida; Malpighiales; Salicaceae. The transcript has 2 exons. The record is from RefSeq and is a predicted model, not a curated record.